This 1117-nucleotide long non-coding RNA is filed under the name Sorghum bicolor (sorghum). RNAcentral describes it as "long non-coding RNA (SBIC_LNC000201)". Lineage: Eukaryota; Viridiplantae; Streptophyta; Magnoliopsida; Poales; Poaceae. The record is from RNAcentral.
GGUGGCCGGCCGGGGCAAUCCAUCUUGUCUUGUGGUGUGCCAGUGCCUAGGACGGCAGCUGCUCCACGGCCACCUCCUCCAUCUUCUGGUGCGCCCGGGCCUCCAUCUCGCAGCAGAGGCAGGGCCGGCUGAGCACGGCGCCGUGCGCGUGCGCGUGCGCGUGCCCCACCCCGGCGGCGGCGACGGCGACGGCGUGCGCGUCGACGGGCGGGACAGGCUUGCGCGCGAUGAUGACGGAGUUGAUCACCUCCCCUUCCGGGUGGUGCACGGCGAGCACGUCGAAGCCGCCGCGGCGGAUCUCCUCGGGGUCCACGACGGGGUACAGGAAGCCGCGCGCGCCGUGCGCGCUCCGCACCACCAGCGCGGCGCCGGGCGCCAUGUGCCUCCCGAGGUGCUCCACCACGCGGGCCUUCUCCUCGGCGGCCAUGCCCACGAGCGCCGCCAGGAAGACGACGUCGUACCCGGCCAGGUCCCUGGUGACGUCGGCCACGUCGGAGGUGCGGAACGCCAUGCGCGCGGCGAGCGCCGCGUCGGCGCGCACGAGGCGGCGCGCGCGGUCGUUGGCGUCCCCGCAGAUGUCGUAGUUGUCGAAGGCCGCGGCCGGGAGGUGGCGCGCCGCGAGCACGAGGGAGCUGAGCGGGAGCGGGCCGGAGCCGACGAAGGCGACGCGCGCCGGCGGCGGUCCCGGGACGUGGCGCGCCAGCAGGCCGUGCUCCAGCUCGCUCAGCAGCAGGUAGUUGCUGAAGUAGGGGAAGAGCGUGAGGUGGUCCAGCGGGUUGUCGAAGCCCGCCAGCAGGUCGGAGUAGUGCGCCUCCAGCAGUGCCUCGGCGUCGGCGCAGAGGCGGAUGAGCCCCGCGCGCAUGGCCUGCAGCUCAGGGCCCAGGCGCUCCACGUCCACCGUGCUGCGCGGGAUGCACGCCGUCACGAGGGCGGUGAAGAGCGCGUUCACCUCCGGCGACGGGCUCAGCGACGGCAGCUUCGCGAUGGCCGCGGCCAGGCCGGAGAUCUUCUGCACCAGCGCCUCCUCGUCCGCCGUCAUGUCCGGCUCGACGACGACUCGUGCUUCUUCUUGGACCUCCUCCUCCUUCAGCUGCUGCUGCUGGUGGUGCUUCUCCUC